AAACUGAGGAUAAUACCGGAUAGGCAAUUAUUCCUGCAAUGGUUUUUUGUUUAAAUGUUUUUUCGCCUAAGGAUGGGUCUGCGGCCGAUUAGGUAGUUGGUUAGGUAAUGGCUUACCAAGCCGUUGAUCGGUACGGGUUGUGAGAGCAAGAGCCCGGAGAUGGAACCUGAGACAAGGUUCCAGGCCCUACGGGGUGCAGCAGGCGCGAAACCUCCGCAAUGUGAGAAAUCGCGACGGGGGGAUCCCAAGUGCCAUUCUUAACGGGAUGGCUUUUCAUUAGUGUAAAGAGCUUUUGGAAUAAGAGCUGGGCAAGAUCGGUGCCAGCCGCCGCGGUAACACCGGCAGCUCUAGUGGUAACAAUUUUUAUUGGGCCUAAAGCGUCCGUAGCCGGUUUAAUAAGUCUCUGGUGAAAUCCUGUAGCUUAACUGUGGGAAUUGCUGGAGAUACUAUUAGACUUGAGACCGGGAGAGGUUAGAGGUACUCCCAGCGUAGAGGUGAAAUUCUGUAAUCCUGCGAGGACCGCCUGUUGCGAAGGCGUCUAACUGGAACGGUUCUGACGGUGAGGGACGAUAGUUAUGGGCGCGAACCGGAU
RNAcentral lists this ribosomal RNA (592 nucleotides) under uncultured rumen archaeon. Its description in RNAcentral is "bacterial SSU rRNA". It matches the Rfam family "Archaeal small subunit ribosomal RNA", at positions 137 to 729 of the family's 1478-position model. The record is from RNAcentral.